GCCGCCUUAGCUCAGCCGGUAGAGCAUCGCAUUCGUAAUGCGGGGGUCGGGUGUUCGAGUCACCCAGGCGGCACCA
Molecule: transfer RNA, 76 nt
Filed under: Rhodospirillaceae bacterium
Lineage: Bacteria; Pseudomonadati; Pseudomonadota; Alphaproteobacteria; Rhodospirillales; Rhodospirillaceae
Also listed under: 3 other names
Description: tRNA-Thr
Rfam family: tRNA
About the family: Transfer RNA (tRNA) molecules are approximately 80 nucleotides in length. Their secondary structure includes four short double-helical elements and three loops (D, anti-codon, and T loops).
Source: RNAcentral